This 431-nucleotide ribosomal RNA is filed under the name uncultured Alphaproteobacteria bacterium. RNAcentral describes it as "bacterial SSU rRNA". It matches the Rfam family "Bacterial small subunit ribosomal RNA", at positions 29 to 505 of the family's 1533-position model. The record is from RNAcentral. Lineage: Bacteria; Pseudomonadati; Pseudomonadota; Alphaproteobacteria.
AACGAACGCUGGCGGCAGGCCUAACACAUGCAAGUCGAACGAUCUCUUCGGAGAUAGUGGCGCACGGGUGAGGAACACGUGGGAACGUACCCUGUAGUACAGAAUAGCCCCGGGAAACUGGGAUUAAUACUGUAUACGCUCUUCGGAGGAAAGAUUUAUCGCUAUAGGAUCGGCCCGCGUAGCAUUAGCUUGUUGGUGAGGUAAAAGCUCACCAAGGCGACGAUGCUUAGCUGGUCUGAGAGGAUGAUCAGCCACACUGGAACUGAGACACGGUCCAGACUCCUACGGGAGGCAGCAGUGAGGAAUAUUGGACAAUGGGGGAAACCCUGAUCCAGCCAUGCCGCGUGAGUGAUGAAGGCCCUAGGGUUGUAAAGCUCUUUCACUAGCGAAGAUAAUGACGGUAACUAGAGAAGAAGCCCCGGCUAACUUCG